This 389-nucleotide ribosomal RNA is filed under the name uncultured bacterium. RNAcentral's name for it is "bacterial SSU rRNA". It matches the Rfam family "Bacterial small subunit ribosomal RNA", at positions 30 to 423 of the family's 1533-position model. The record is from RNAcentral.
AUUGAACGCUGGCGGUAGGCCUAACACAUGCAAGUCGAACGCGAAAGUCCUUCGGGAUGAGUAGAGUGGCGGACGGGUGAGUAACGCGUAGGAAUCUAUCCUGUAGUGGGGGAUAACGUUUCGAAAGGAACGCUAAUACCGCAUACGCCCCAAGGGGAAAGCGGGGGAUCUUCGGACCUCGUGCUAUAGGAGGAGCCUGCGUCGGAUUAGCUAGUUGGUGAGGUAAAGGCUCACCAAGGCGACGAUCCGUAGCUGGUCUGAGAGGAUGAUCAGCCACACCGGAACUGAGACACGGUCCGGACUCCUACGGGAGGCAGCAGUGGGGAAUAUUGCGCAAUGGGCGAAAGCCUGACGCAGCCAUACCGCGUGUGUGAAGAAGGCCUUCGGUU